CCUACGGGUGGCAGCAGUGGGGAAUAUUGGACAAUGGGCGAAAGCCUGAUCCAGCCAUGCCGCGUGUGUGAAGAAGGCCUUCGGGUUGUAAAGCACUUUCAGUGGGGAAGAAAGCCUUGGGGCUAAUACCCUCGAGGAAGGACAUCACCCACAGAAGAAGCACCGGCUAACUCCGUGCCAGCAGCCGCGGUAAUACGGAGGGUGCGAGCGUUAAUCGGAAUUACUGGGCGUAAAGCGCGCGUAGGCGGUCUGAUAAGCCGGUUGUGAAAGCCCCGGGCUCAACCUGGGAACGGCAUCCGGAACUGUCAGGCUAGAGUGCAGGAGAGGAAGGUAGAAUUCCCGGUGUAGCGGUGAAAUGCGUAGAGAUCGGGAGGAAUACCAGUGGCGAAGGCGGCCUUCUGGACCGACACUGACGCUGAGGUGCGAAAGCGUGGGUAGCAAACAGGAUUAGAUACCCCAGUAGUC
RNAcentral lists this ribosomal RNA (465 nucleotides) under Vreelandella stevensii. RNAcentral describes it as "partial 16S ribosomal RNA". It matches the Rfam family "Bacterial small subunit ribosomal RNA", at positions 338 to 795 of the family's 1533-position model. Lineage: Bacteria; Pseudomonadati; Pseudomonadota; Gammaproteobacteria; Oceanospirillales; Halomonadaceae. The record is from RNAcentral.